GGCCCUAUCGUCUAGUGGUUAGGACGUCAGCUUUUCAGGCUGAAAACAGGGGUUCGACUCCCCUUAGGGCUGCCA
Molecule: transfer RNA, 75 nt
Filed under: Candidatus Berkelbacteria bacterium
Lineage: Bacteria; Candidatus Berkelbacteria
Description: tRNA-Glu
Rfam family: tRNA
About the family: Transfer RNA (tRNA) molecules are approximately 80 nucleotides in length. Their secondary structure includes four short double-helical elements and three loops (D, anti-codon, and T loops).
Source: RNAcentral